GUGAGCGUGCCAAAGUGGUUAUUGGGCAUGACUAGAAAUAAUGUGGGCUUUGCUCGCGUAGGUUCGAAUCUUAUCGCUCACG
This is a non-coding RNA of Ipomoea nil (Japanese morning glory), 82 nucleotides long. The record is from Rfam. NCBI's taxonomy places the organism in Eukaryota, Viridiplantae, Streptophyta, Magnoliopsida, Solanales, Convolvulaceae.